GUGAGGCCUCCCCAGCCAUGUGGAACUGAGUCCAUUAAACCUCCUUUUCUUUAUAAGUUACCCAGUCUCAGGUGUUUCUUCAUAGCAGUAUGAAAAUGGACUAAUACACCAGGGCUUAUACGUAACCUCCUCUUUAGACUUGAACUGAGUUACACCACUGGCUUUCCCGGGCCUCCAGCAUGCAGAUGGCGGAUUGUAGAACAUUUCAGCCUCAGUAAUUGGGUGAGCAGCUCCCAUAAUACACUCCUCUAUGUUUCUCUCUAUGUCCUAUUUCUGUUUCUCUGGAGAACACUGACUUCUAUAGUAUGUAAGGCACUCAGUCAUAAAGGCAGGCUAUCCUUCCAUUAAUGACUCAUUCUGGUGUAUCUGUAGCCUAGAUCCCUGUUCUAGGAAAAUCCUAUUCCCUUCUUGCCUCUUCUAUGUGGAAAUCUCACAGACAUCACCACUCAACCCAUCCAGAUCAGAUGGGAACCAGGGAUUUAACAGCUGGCACCUGCUGCUGCCAGUCUGCCAUUGUCCUAAGUAUUUUAUACACAUUUUCUCAUCUUAGAAAGCCCCUGGAAGAUAAAGAAAUGGAGGCCACGAGCUGGAGAACUGUGUGCUCAAGUUGCACAGCUAUUAACAGACUGAGCAGGGACUCCCGGCCAGCAGUGUGGCUCCAGCUGGUUUCCAGCUUCCGCUUCUUGGCAACCACCUUCACAGAGGAAUGCAAGAGGCAAGCGGUGCCCGAGCCCCUGUGUGUCUUCAGAUCUUCACAGCACAGUUCCUGA
Molecule: long non-coding RNA, 770 nt
Filed under: Callithrix jacchus (white-tufted-ear marmoset)
Lineage: Eukaryota; Metazoa; Chordata; Mammalia; Primates; Cebidae
Description: lncRNA (ENSCJAG00000078267.1)
Source: RNAcentral